UGCGUAGGCGGUUUGGUAAGUCUUGUGUGAAAUCUAUGGGCUCAACUCAUAGACUGCACGAGAAACUGCCGGGCUUGAGUGUGGGAGAGGUGAGUGGAAUUCCUGGUGUAGCGGUGAAAUGCGUAGAUAUCAGGAGGAACACCUGUGGCGAAAGCGGCUCACUGGACCACAACUGACGCUGAUGCACGAAAGCUAGGGGAGCAAACAGGAUUAGAUACCCUGGUAGUCCUAGCCCUAAACGAUGACUGCUUGGUGUGACGGGUACCCAAUCCCGCCGUGCCGUAGCUAACGCGUUAAGCAGUCCGCCUGGGGAGUACGGUCGCAAGGCUGAA
Molecule: ribosomal RNA, 332 nt
Filed under: uncultured bacterium
Lineage: Bacteria
Description: bacterial SSU rRNA
Rfam family: Bacterial small subunit ribosomal RNA
Source: RNAcentral